GAAAUGCGAUAAGUAGUGUGAAUUGCAGAAUGCAGUGAAUCAUCGAAUCUUUGAACGCACAUUGCGCCCCUUGGUAUUCCAUGGGGCAUGCCUGUUCGAGCGUCAUUUGUACACUCAAGCUCUGCUUGGUGUUGGGUGUUUGUCCCCGUCUCCGCGCGUGGACUCGCCCCAAAGUGAUUGGCAGCCGGCGUACUGGUCCCGGAGCGCAGCACAUGUCGCGCAAACGAGUGCCUUGGUACGGCGGCGUCCAUAAGCCCCUCUCUCACGCUCUUGACCUCGGAUCAGGUAGGGAUACCCGCUGAACUUAAGC
This 310-nucleotide unclassified non-coding RNA is filed under the name plant metagenome. RNAcentral describes it as "partial contains 5.8S ribosomal RNA, internal transcribed spacer 2, and large subunit ribosomal RNA". The stretch from base 1 to 105 matches the Rfam family "5.8S ribosomal RNA", at positions 50 to 154 of the family's 154-position model. The record is from RNAcentral.